CCUACGGGAGGCAGCAGUGGGGAAUUUUCCGCAAUGGGCGAAAGCCUGACGGAGCAAUGCCGCGUGGAGGUAGAAGGCCCACGGGUCGUGAACUUCUUUUCUCGGAGAAGAAACAAUGACGGUCUCAGAGGNAANNCCUCNGUUUUU
This 147-nucleotide ribosomal RNA is filed under the name bacterium. RNAcentral's name for it is "partial 16S ribosomal RNA". It matches the Rfam family "Bacterial small subunit ribosomal RNA", at positions 338 to 501 of the family's 1533-position model. The record is from RNAcentral.